AUGUGGACUCGGCUUCGUCAGCGCUAUCAGCCCUCUGAUGAUGCCUUAUACCUGUCUGUGGUUCGUCAGGAGCAUGCUCUUCAGCAGGGUGACUCCACUGUUGAUGAGUUCUAUGCACAGAGUUCUGCUAUCUGGCGUCAGCUUGAUUCUCUACGCACCGCUGGUUGUCGUACUUGUCAGUGUUGCUAGGCUGUGCGGGCUGAUUUGGAGUUUCAUCGUGUCUACGAGUUCUUGUCUCGACUCCGUAAGGAGUUUGAGCCCCGUCGCGCUCAGUUGUUUGCUCGUGGUCGUAUCUCCCCCAUGGAAGCGCUUUCUGAGAUCCGUGCUGAGGAGAUUCGCCUCCGUGGCGCUAGUUUACUUGAGGUUCCCUCUGUGCUCACUACUCGAGUUCCUGCUAUGCCUGCUGCACCGACUCCUUCCCACUCGAGUGCUCCGCCGCUCUUGCCUACUCCUACGGGCGGCCAGGGUUGGUCUCGUCCUCACUGCGGCUACUGCAAGAUGGAUGGUCAUGUUGAGUCUCAGUGUUUCCAGAAGAAGAAACACCUGCGUAAGGCGCGAUCAUCAGCUUCAGGGACUUCUUCUACUUCGACAUCUUCAGCCACCGCCUUGACUGAGCACGAUAUUUUGCAACUUAAGCGUCUGCUUGCCGCUUCAGGUUCUCCUUCGACGGGUACUGCAGGUUCUGUGACUGAUGCUUCCCGCACUGAGCAACCACCCUCUACACAGUCAGGUACAUCCUCGUGUGUAACGCCCAUGAUGCGGCUAUAUCUCCCACGUGUCGAGGCACGACUUAGAGGCAUAACCGCAUUGUGGUUUUGUCGCAAGAAGGGUCAUCUUCACACAAUCCCAUGUAAUGAACAAGAAUGGGAUAACGAGAGUUGGCUUACAAUCGCCACUUCACACAAUACAUAA
This 912-nucleotide ribosomal RNA is filed under the name Triticum aestivum (bread wheat). RNAcentral's name for it is "partial small subunit ribosomal RNA". The record is from RNAcentral. Lineage: Eukaryota; Viridiplantae; Streptophyta; Magnoliopsida; Poales; Poaceae.